UGACAGCAGCCGGAAACAGUCAUAGGAC
This 28-nucleotide non-coding RNA is filed under the name Bombyx mori (domestic silkworm). The record is from RNAcentral. Lineage: Eukaryota; Metazoa; Arthropoda; Insecta; Lepidoptera; Bombycidae.